CUUCUUAAGCAAUUCGAAGAAAGCAUUAACAACCUACAAUAUAAUAUAAAAAAUUAACAUCAUUGAUUUAUCUACAACAAGAUUUAUGCUAGAUUGAAGACAUGAUAACAUUGAACACAACUUGAUAAUUAAUGCAUGACAAAAAUAUAUGAAUUGCCAAAUUAAUUUAUGUCAAAUCACUAUAUAUUUGAUAAUUACUUAUUGAAUCAUUAAUAUAAUACUCUUUUCGAGUUUCAUCACUUUGGGGCACCAUGAGUAAAGGUGCCAAUAUCUCACCCUGAACUUUAAAUUUUUUAUCUCGUCCAAUCGAUUUUUUGUGAAACAUAAAUUUCUUUAUAUAGUUAAGUUAUAAUGAUCAUUUUGUAUUCCACUAUUAACACAUUAAAACUAGCAAUAUACCCAUUCAACUCAUUCCUUUGCCAUUUAUCUAGCCGUUUAUACUCCUUGCUAGUAAAUACGCCUUAAUAUCCUAUAAGAGUAAUAACCAAAUAAAACCAUUAAUAUAUGAAUAACUGCAAAGGAAUGUAUGUAUAUAUAGAACCAAAGAAAUGAAGUAUGAACCUGUUCACACCAUGGUCCUUCCUCCUUCAAUGUUGUUUCAUCUUCAGACUCGGAAGAUGAACUCUGAACCUCUUCCGAUUGAUUAUUAUCGAACAAUAGAUCAUAGUUCCAAAUUUCAAUUACGUCAUCAACAUUUUUUUCAUCAGGUU
RNAcentral lists this long non-coding RNA (710 nucleotides) under Gossypium raimondii (Peruvian cotton). RNAcentral's name for it is "long non-coding RNA (GRAI_LNC003356)". The record is from RNAcentral. Lineage: Eukaryota; Viridiplantae; Streptophyta; Magnoliopsida; Malvales; Malvaceae.